This 71-nucleotide microRNA precursor is filed under the name Echinococcus granulosus. Its description in RNAcentral is "microRNA egr-mir-10263 precursor". Lineage: Eukaryota; Metazoa; Platyhelminthes; Cestoda; Cyclophyllidea; Taeniidae. The record is from miRBase by way of RNAcentral.
CUUUCAAUUUGCUCUGGGUUAGUAGAAGGCAUUUUAAAUGCACUACUAAACCAAGAGACAAAUUGAAACAC